This 73-nucleotide transfer RNA is filed under the name Canis lupus familiaris (dog). It matches the Rfam family "tRNA". From Rfam's summary of the family: Transfer RNA (tRNA) molecules are approximately 80 nucleotides in length. The record is from Rfam by way of RNAcentral. Lineage: Eukaryota; Metazoa; Chordata; Mammalia; Carnivora; Canidae. RNAcentral also lists the same sequence under 1 other name.
GCCUGGCUGGCUCAGUUGGUAGAGCAUGUAACUUUUGAUCUCAGGGCCGUGAGUUCGAGUGCCACAUUGGGCA